GACGAACGCUGGCGGCGUGCUUAACACAUGCAAGUCGAACGGAAAGGCCCUGCUUUUGUGGGGUGCUCGAGUGGCGAACGGGUGAGUAACACGUGAGUAACCUGCCCUUGACUUUGGGAUAACUUCAGGAAACUGGGGCUAAUACCGGAUAGGAGCUCCUGCUGCAUGGUGGGGGUUGGAAAGUUUCGGCGGUUGGGGAUGGACUCGCGGCUUAUCAGCUUGUUGGUGGGGUAGUGGCUUACCAAGGCUUUGACGGGUAGCCGGCCUGAGAGGGUGACCGGCCACAUUGGGACUGAGAUAAGGCCCAGACUCCUACGGGAGGCAGCAGUGGGGAAUAUUGCACAAUGGGCGGAAGCCUGAUGCAGCAACGCCGCGUGCGGGAUGACGGCCUUCGGGUUGUAAACCGCUUUCGCCUGUGACGAAGCGUGAGUGACGGUAAUGGGUAAAGAAGCCCCGGCUAACUACGUG
RNAcentral lists this ribosomal RNA (468 nucleotides) under uncultured bacterium. RNAcentral's name for it is "partial 16S ribosomal RNA". It matches the Rfam family "Bacterial small subunit ribosomal RNA", at positions 28 to 507 of the family's 1533-position model. The record is from RNAcentral.